CAGCAAUGUCAGAAUCAUUAGUGUUCUGAUCUCCAAAUCAUGGGGAGAAUGACUGGAAUAAGAGAAGACAAGGGACAGAGAAAAUCUAAAGCUGCCGAGCAAGAUAGUCAAUAUGAGGCUUGACCGGGCAGCUAUCAAUUCCCUGCCACAGGUGUUGACAUGGAUAAAGCCUCCCUACAGUGAGAUCCCCAAAUACAAUGUAAUUUGACUUUCAGCUCAUAAGAACAUAAGAACAGCCCUGCUGGAUCAGGCACAGGGCCCAUCCAAUCCAGCAUCUAGAUGCCUCCAAGAAGCCCACAGGCAAGAG
Hemicordylus capensis (graceful crag lizard) is the source of this 307-nucleotide long non-coding RNA. RefSeq lists it as uncharacterized. Lineage: Eukaryota; Metazoa; Chordata; Lepidosauria; Squamata; Cordylidae. The record is from RefSeq and is a predicted model, not a curated record. The transcript has 3 exons.